This 466-nucleotide ribosomal RNA is filed under the name uncultured bacterium. RNAcentral describes it as "partial 16S ribosomal RNA". It matches the Rfam family "Bacterial small subunit ribosomal RNA", at positions 28 to 507 of the family's 1533-position model. The record is from RNAcentral.
GACGAACGCUGGCGGCGCGCCUAACACAUGCAAGUCGAACGAGCGAGAGGAGGUUUACUUUCUCAAGCGAGUGGCGAACGGGUGAGUAACGCGUGAGGAACCUGCCUCAAAGAGGGGGACAACAGUUGGAAACGACUGCUAAUACCGCAUAAGCCCACGACCCGGCAUCGGGUAGAGGGAAAAGGAGCAAUCCGCUUUGAGAUGGCCUCGCGUCCGAUUAGCUAGUUGGUGAGGUAAUGGCCCACCAAGGCGACGAUCGGUAGCCGGACUGAGAGGUUGAACGGCCACAUUGGGACUGAGACACGGCCCAGACUCCUACGGGAGGCAGCAGUGGGGAAUAGUGCACAAUGGGGGAAACCCUGAUGCAGCGACGACGCGUGGAGGAAGAAGGUCUUCGGAUUGUAAACUCCUGUUGUUGAGGAAGAUAAUGACGGUACUCAACAAGGAAGUGACGGCUAACUACGUG